AUUGAACGCUGGCGGCAGGCCUAACACAUGCAAGUCGAGCGGAUGAAGGGAGCUUGCUCCUGGAUUCAGCGGCGGACGGGUGAGUAAUGCCUAGGAAUCUGCCUGGUAGUGGGGGAUAACGUCCGGAAACGGGCGCUAAUACCGCAUACGUCCUGAGGGAGAAAGUGGGGGAUCUUCGGACCUCACGCUAUCAGAUGAGCCUAGGUCGGAUUAGCUAGUUGGUGGGGUAAAGGCCUACCAAGGCGACGAUCCGUAACUGGUCUGAGAGGAUGAUCAGUCACACUGGAACUGAGACACGGUCCAGACUCCUACGGGAGGCAGCAGUGGGGAAUAUUGGACAAUGGGCGAAAGCCUGAUCCAGACAUGCCGCGUGUGUGAAGAAGGUCUUCGGAUUGUAAAGCACUUUAAGUUGGGAGGAGGGGCAGUAAGUUAAUACCUUGCUGUUUUGACGUUACCAACAGAAUAAGCACCGGCUAACUUCGUG
Molecule: ribosomal RNA, 484 nt
Filed under: uncultured bacterium
Lineage: Bacteria
Description: partial 16S ribosomal RNA
Rfam family: Bacterial small subunit ribosomal RNA
Source: RNAcentral